UAGCGCGUCACAGAUUUAUUGAUGAUUUACAAAUAUGCAAAUAUAUUGGCUGGACAGUUGGUUCCUUAUUGAAAUUAUUACUCUUUAUUACAAUAACUAAUGCUGUAACACUUGGAUACUGACAAGUAUGAGGACCUAACAGAGAUUGAGGGACCAAAUUCACUCCUAUAUCAAUAUUUGUAUCAAAUCAAGCACAAUAUACACAUUUAAAAAAUAUACAUGCGAGUAAAAAAAAUAUCUUCCACAUAUUUACAAUGAAAGUUACUGCAAAAUACUGAUUAUCUGCCACAUAGAGCUGAGCAUAACAUUUAUACAUCGAUGUGACGAGAAUUUGUAGAUUCAGAUUGCAUAUCAACAACACCACUAUCAUUGGAGGAAAAACAUAUUCAACCAAUGAAAGACAGUGUACCAUCAACAGGAAUGACAUGCUUUGGAAGUAAUGACAGUAAUUGUGAAAUACUGUUUCUCAAAGAAAAUCAUGGAAAACAAAACAUCACAAGACAGUCACUGUAUAUAACAACCCAACUGAAAUUUGGACUCUAUCUCAGAAAUUACCUUCCCUAAUCCCUCUUGAAUUCUAAACAGCUUUAGCAUUGCGUGAUGCACAUGAACCAAAGCAAAGCAGUGUACCAGCAGUUCUCAGUUAUCUCAUGCAUAAAACAAUAGGCAGGGUUUCGUAAUUAGAGUCGGGAGUUUGUGAGCGAGAGAGACAGAGAGAGACAAAGAGAGAGACAGAGAGAGAAUGAGAGAGAGUGAAAGAGAGAGAGAGACAGAGAGAGAGAGAGAGAGAGAGAGAGAGAGGGACAGAGAGAGAGUGAAAGAGAGACAGAGAGAUAGAUCCACAUGCAGUCUGUGUACUACAACCAGAAGGGACAGAGCAGAGGAGAGGAGACACUAGCUAGUCUUUAGCAUAAACAUUUGUUGAGCCAUCAUAUCUAUCAUGGGACUGGGUUAGAGCCAUCAUAUCUAUCAUGGGACUGGGUUAGAGCCAUCAUAUCUAUCAUGGGACUGGGUUAAAGCCAUCAUAUCUAUCAUGGGACUGGG
This 1044-nucleotide long non-coding RNA is filed under the name Salmo salar (Atlantic salmon). Its description in RNAcentral is "lncRNA (ENSSSAG00000097812.1)". Lineage: Eukaryota; Metazoa; Chordata; Actinopteri; Salmoniformes; Salmonidae. The record is from RNAcentral.